RNAcentral lists this non-coding RNA (30 nucleotides) under Homo sapiens (human). The record is from RNAcentral. Lineage: Eukaryota; Metazoa; Chordata; Mammalia; Primates; Hominidae.
GCUCUCCCACCAUUGAGGGUUUCUACCUGC